This 253-nucleotide ribosomal RNA is filed under the name uncultured bacterium. Its description in RNAcentral is "partial 16S ribosomal RNA". It matches the Rfam family "Bacterial small subunit ribosomal RNA", at positions 524 to 776 of the family's 1533-position model. The record is from RNAcentral.
UACGUAGGGUGCAAGCGUUAAUCGGAAUUACUGGGCGUAAAGCGUGCGCAGGCGGUGAUGUAAGACCGAUGUGAAAUCCCCGGGCUUAACCUGGGAACUGCAUUGGUGACUGCAUUGCUAGAGUAUGGCAGAGGGGGAUGGAAUUCCGCGUGUAGCAGUGAAAUGCGUAGAUAUGCGGAGGAACACCGAUGGCGAAGGCAAUCCCCUGGGCCUGCACUGACGUUCAUGCACGAAAGCGUGGGGAUCAAACAGG